CCAUGCAUGACGAUAAAUUGUGUUGGUAGGGACAUCUGAGUAAUGUUGAUGAAUUGCCAACCUUUCUGACACGCAUGG
Molecule: small nucleolar RNA, 78 nt
Organism: Chanos chanos (milkfish)
Lineage: Eukaryota; Metazoa; Chordata; Actinopteri; Gonorynchiformes; Chanidae
Product: small nucleolar RNA SNORD74
Exons: 1
Source: RefSeq, a predicted model, not a curated record